Long non-coding RNA from Juglans microcarpa x Juglans regia, 1083 nucleotides. RefSeq lists it as uncharacterized. The record is from RefSeq and is a predicted model, not a curated record. The transcript has 3 exons. Lineage: Eukaryota; Viridiplantae; Streptophyta; Magnoliopsida; Fagales; Juglandaceae.
CUAAGUCCCCUCACCCCGAAGCCCCAUCUCAGUCCCCCUCCAUCUCACCACACACCCCUCCCCCUACAUCUCAGUCGCCCUCCAUCUCUGCCCUAACCCCUCCCCCUCCAUCCCAGACUUAUCGAUUUAAUAAAUAAUACAAAAUAAUAAAUAAUAAAAAAAACAAUUACCUUCCCAUCGCCAUGGUCGGAGCUCACUACCUCUUCAUCUCUCUCUCUCUAAAACUCGAAGUGAAAAAAUGAGUAUUUGAAACCCAAGAUUCUUUAUUUUUAUUUUUUCUUUUGGUCUCCCUCUGUCUGUUGCUCGUGGUUGAAGCGAGGAAUCCAGUGUAGUAUUGAAUCCGUGAAGGUCUAGUUUGGUCGACAAGGAAGCCCAUACUAGCAAGACUUCGCAGUACUGUGAUGGGUGGCAAACUCAAUUUUUAGCAGGUACCAGGGUAUUUUUUGCUAAGAAGAUGAGAGGCAGGGGUUUGUGGCAACUUGGGCAAUCAUUAACCCGUCCGCUUGCUCAGACUGAUAAGAAGACCACUCGUCGAUACUUUUCUGCAGAACCAGAGCUGAAAAAGACAAUGAGAUUCAGGAUGCCACGUGAAGGAGCUUUGGUAGUGGGUCUAUCCCACGAUGGCGUAGCAGAGGCAGCGAUGCUAACGAAGUGCUCCAAGGCUGUAGCACGGUUGCUUUCAUGGUGGUUGUUGGCUUUCCAAGGUGGCAGCGGAUUGGUGUCUCUAGCUGGGCAACCUUGGCCUGUGUUGGACAUGGAAGGCAGUACAAGUUUGGUUUGUGGGGUCUGUUAGUUUAAUAUAGAAGUACUCGAUUAGUUUGUGGGGUCUGUUAGUUUAAAAAGUUUGUUUGGAGGAGAUGAUCAAUUAGGAGGAGACCAGACGUUACCUCCCUGAACAUCAACAUCUUCUGCAUAUAUUGAAGUACUGGAUUGGCUUGGAGAAAGAGGAGCUCCAAUUGGUUGUGACCUUUGUAAUGACCUUUAAAUGAAAAGUUGUGUAAUGAAAUCAGCUUAGCUCUAGACUGGUUUCCUUACUUUUCAAUGAAAUAUGUAUAUUCAUAUUGGUAACAUAUGUUUAUUGUA